RNAcentral lists this ribosomal RNA (486 nucleotides) under uncultured bacterium. RNAcentral's name for it is "partial 16S ribosomal RNA". It matches the Rfam family "Bacterial small subunit ribosomal RNA", at positions 30 to 507 of the family's 1533-position model. The record is from RNAcentral.
AUUGAACGCUGGCGGCAUGCCUUACACAUGCAAGUCGAACGGCAGCACGGGUGCUUGCCCCUGGUGGCGAGUGGCGAACGGGUGAGUAAUACAUCGGAACAUGUCCUGUAGUGGGGGAUAGCCCGGCGAAAGCCGGAUUAAUACCGCAUACGAUCUACGGAUGACAGCGGGGGACCUUCGGGCCUCGCGCUAUAGGGUUGGCCGAUGGCUGAUUAGCUAGUUGGUGGGGUAAAGGCCUACCAAGGCGACGAUCAGUAGCUGGUCUGAGAGGACGACCAGCCACACUGGGACUGAGACACGGCCCAGACUCCUACGGGAGGCAGCAGUGGGGAAUUUUGGACAAUGGGCGAAAGCCUGAUCCAGCAAUGCCGCGUGUGUGAAGAAGGCCUUCGGGUUGUAAAGCACUUUUGUCCGGAAAGAAAUCCUUGGCCCUAAUACGGUCGGGGGAUGACGGUACCGGAAGAAUAAGCACCGGCUAACUAUGUG